RNAcentral lists this ribosomal RNA (443 nucleotides) under uncultured bacterium. RNAcentral describes it as "partial 16S ribosomal RNA". It matches the Rfam family "Bacterial small subunit ribosomal RNA", at positions 338 to 795 of the family's 1533-position model. The record is from RNAcentral.
CCUACGGGAGGCAGCAGUGGGGAAUAUUGGACAAUGGGGGGAACCCUGAUCCAGCGACGCCGCGUGAGUGAAGAAGUAUUUCGGUAUGUAAAGCUCUAUCAGCAGGGAAGAAAGAAAUGACGGUACCUGACUAAGAAGCCCCGGCUAACUACGUGCCAGCAGCCGCGGUAAGACGUAGGGGGCAAGCGUUAUCCGGAUUUACUGGGUGUAAAGGGAGCGUAGACGGUUACGCAAGUCUGGAGUGAAAGGCGGGGGCUCAACCCCCGGACUGCUUUGGAAACUGUAUAACUGGAGUGCAGGAGAGGUAAGUGGAAUUCCUAGUGUAGCGGUGAAAUGCGUAGAUAUUAGGAGGAACACCAGUGGCGAAGGCGGCUUACUGGACUGUAACUGACGUUGAGGCUCGAAAGCGUGGGGAGCAAACAGGAUUAGAUACCCCGGUAGUC